Molecule: ribosomal RNA, 1402 nt
Filed under: Ricinus communis (castor bean)
Lineage: Eukaryota; Viridiplantae; Streptophyta; Magnoliopsida; Malpighiales; Euphorbiaceae
Description: Bacterial small subunit ribosomal RNA
Rfam family: Bacterial small subunit ribosomal RNA
Source: Rfam by way of RNAcentral
UUUCUUGAGUGUGUGAUCAUGACAAGACUCGAGGAAUAGGGGGCAAGUGUUCUUUGGAAUAAUUGGGCGUAAAGGGCAUGUAGGCGGUGAAUCGGGUUGAAAGUGAAAUUCGCCAAAAACUGGCGGAAUGCUGUCGAAACCAAUUCACUUGAGUGGGACAGGGGAGAGUGGAAUUUCAUGUGUAGGGGUGAAAUCCUAAGAUCUACGAAGGAACGCCAAAAGCGAAGGCAACUCUCUAGGUCCCUACUGAUGCUGGGGUGCAAAAGCAUGGGGAGCGAACGGGAUCCAUGCCAUAAAUGAUGAGUGUUCACCCUUGGUCUAUGCGGAUUAUGGGCCCAGCUAACGUGUGAAACAAUCUACCUGGGGAGUACGGUCGCAAGGCUAAAACUCAAAAGAAUUGACGAGUGCCUACAGAAGCGAUGAAGCAUGUGUUUAAUUUGAUACAAUGUGUAAAACCUUACUAGUCCUUGACAUAUGAACAACAAAACCUGUCCUUAACGGGAUGGUACCUACUUUCAUACAAGUGUUGCAUGGUUGUCGUCAGCUCGUGUCGUGAGAUAUUUGGUCAAGUCCUAUAACGAGAAACCCUCAUUUUGUGUUGUUAACACAUGCGCCUAAGGAGAAAGUCAUUGCAACCAAAGUGAGCCUAGGAGUCGAGGGACAUGCCAGCGCUACUAAUUGAGUGCCAACAUGUAGUUGUGUUGUCAGUAAGAGAGGAACUGGUGCCUUUCAAAGUGCUUUUAGUGUGCGCUUUAGUUUGAUUACAGCUAGCGCGCUUUACUAAACAUUCUCACUUGCUUAAGUCCAGGUUUUGGCCUUAUCUUGCAGGUGACGACGACGUCGAGUUAGUGGGGAAAAAAGACUCACCAUUUAGGCGAGCUGCUCGAUGGUGUGGUACAUAGUGGGUUUAGUAUAGCCCACCAAAACGGCUUUAAUACAAAUAAAAGGGUGCAUGCCGCACUUACGAGGGACUGCUAGUGAUAUAAUAGAGGAAGGUGGGGAUGACGUCAAGUCCGCAUGGACCUUAUAGGCUGGGCCACACAUGUGCUACGAUGGCAAUUACAAUAGGAAGCAAGGCUAUAAGGCAGAGCAAAUCCGGAAAGAUUGCCUCAAUUCAGAUUAUUCUCUACAAGUUGGGAACAUGUAGUUGGAAUCGCUAGUAAUCAAGGAUUAGCAUGCCGUGGUAAAUAUGUACCCGGGCCCUAUACACGUUGCCUGUCACACCCUAGGAAUUGGUUUCGCCUAAAGCAUUGAAUAAUGUUCACCCAUGACUUUUGUGUACCACUAGUUCUACAAGGGCUUUCAGUGGUCUUAUUAGCACAUACCAUGAUAAGGUCUUCAACUAGGGUGAACUCGUAACAAGGUAGCCAUAAAAGGAACAUGUGGCUGGAUUGAAUCUAAA